This 680-nucleotide ribosomal RNA is filed under the name Salmonella enterica subsp. enterica serovar Anatum. RNAcentral describes it as "bacterial SSU rRNA". It matches the Rfam family "Bacterial small subunit ribosomal RNA", at positions 865 to 1533 of the family's 1533-position model. The record is from RNAcentral. Lineage: Bacteria; Pseudomonadati; Pseudomonadota; Gammaproteobacteria; Enterobacterales; Enterobacteriaceae.
UAGACCGCCUGGGGAGUACGGCCGCAAGGUUAAAACUCAAAUGAAUUGACGGGGGCCCGCACAAGCGGUGGAGCAUGUGGUUUAAUUCGAUGCAACGCGAAGAACCUUACCUGGUCUUGACAUCCACAGAACUUUCCAGAGAUGAGAUUGUGCCUUCGGGAACUGUGAGACAGGUGCUGCAUGGCUGUCGUCAGCUCGUGUUGUGAAAUGUUGGGUUAAGUCCCGCAACGAGCGCAACCCUUAUCCUUUGUUGCCAGCGGUUAGGCCGGGAACUCAAAGGAGACUGCCAGUGAUAAACUGGAGGAAGGUGGGGAUGACGUCAAGUCAUCAUGGCCCUUACGACCAGGGCUACACACGUGCUACAAUGGCGCAUACAAAGAGAAGCGACCUCGCGAGAGCAAGCGGACCUCAUAAAGUGCGUCGUAGUCCGGAUUGGAGUCUGCAACUCGACUCCAUGAAGUCGGAAUCGCUAGUAAUCGUGGAUCAGAAUGCCACGGUGAAUACGUUCCCGGGCCUUGUACACACCGCCCGUCACACCAUGGGAGUGGGUUGCAAAAGAAGUAGGUAGCUUAACCUUCGGGAGGGCGCUUACCACUUUGUGAUUCAUGACUGGGGUGAAGUCGUAACAAGGUAACCGUAGGGGAACCUGCGGUUGGAUCACCUCCUUACCUUAAAGAAGC